GAUGAAGAACGCAGCGAAAUGCGAUAAGUAAUGUGAAUUGCAGAAUUCAGUGAAUCAUCGAAUCUUUGAACGCACAUUGCGCCCCCUGGUAUUCCGGGGGGGAUGCCUGUUCGAGCGUCAUUUCAACCCUCAAGCUCUGCUUGGUAUUGAGUCCAUGUCAGCAAUGGCAGGCUCCAAAAUCAGUGGCGGCGCCGCUGGGUCCUGAACGUAGUAAUAUCUCUCGUUACAGGUGCUCGGCGUGCUUCUGCCGAAACCCCAAUUUUUCUAUGGUUGACCUCGGAUCAGGUAGGGAUACCCGCUGAACUUAAGCAUAUCAAUAAGCGGAGGA
RNAcentral lists this unclassified non-coding RNA (328 nucleotides) under soil metagenome. Its description in RNAcentral is "partial contains 5.8S ribosomal RNA, internal transcribed spacer 2, and large subunit ribosomal RNA". The stretch from base 1 to 120 matches the Rfam family "5.8S ribosomal RNA", at positions 35 to 154 of the family's 154-position model. The record is from RNAcentral.